Long non-coding RNA from Ictalurus furcatus (blue catfish), 957 nucleotides. RefSeq lists it as uncharacterized. Lineage: Eukaryota; Metazoa; Chordata; Actinopteri; Siluriformes; Ictaluridae. The record is from RefSeq and is a predicted model, not a curated record. The transcript is spliced from 4 exons.
ACAUUCACUCUUGACAUAACGUUCACUGCAGAUCUUCAAAAUCCUUUAUCGGCUGCUUUCCUAUUACUUGCUUUAAAGAUUCAAGAUGAGCUUAAUUUCAUAUUUAGAGCAAAAUACAGCAGCCGCUACAGCCAUAGCAAAGUCAACAGCUUUCAGAGAGGAUCUGUUAAAGUAAAUGCAUCACUCUUCUUUGUUGACACGCUUCCUCCUAAUCCGGAGGUAGAAAGUGCUCUAAUUUCUGGCUGGGUAAAUGUCAACAGUAGCUUGCCUCUAGUAAGCGGCAGUGUUGUUGUUGGACAAGCUAUCCAAACUAGCAGCUCUCCGAGGGAAGUGCAGACGUCUUCUACAGUGACCCUCCUUCUCACAUGUGUACUUUUAAUAUUACAAACUCUUUCAUUAAUAUAGACCACAGGGUGUUUUAGCCCCAUAGAUGACCAAAAUCCAGAUGGAGAUUAUAACUGAGCAUACCCUACUUAAAUACAAAUAGUGAUAAAGAAGUCCUAAUUGUUUUUAAUCUCUUAUGGAAGUUUAUAUGUAUAAUAGCCGAAUGUGUGUGCUGGUUUAUGAAUUUGAACAUUAUUUAAUGAAGAGAUAAAUGGGUGAAGGCAUAACUAGCAAAAGAUUUCAUACUUACCUGAGUGUGAACUCUUAAUUCUUGCCCUGUAAUGUCUAUCAGAAAGAUUUCAGGGAUCAUUAAGUCUGUAUCUUUUGUUUUUGUUUUCUUCUUUGUAAUAUGCCGAGUUUAGCCUUGUCAUUGUUUAUUAUCUGCUCUUUUAACUCUAUUAACUCUUUUGCCUCAUUGUAUGCAUGAUUCAGCAAUUACAUUAAAAACUCACAGCUCUUGUUUCAUAUUCCUGUGGUGUAUAGUAGGACAUAAUAGUUAGGCAGGUGUGGCCAUCAUAUACAGGUAGGUGUAUUGUUAUGUUUUAGGUGAUGUUACACUGUGUAAUCAUUACC